Molecule: RNA transcript, 1489 nt
Organism: Cavia porcellus (domestic guinea pig)
Lineage: Eukaryota; Metazoa; Chordata; Mammalia; Rodentia; Caviidae
Gene: Myl6b
Gene name: myosin light chain 6B
Exons: 10
Source: RefSeq, a predicted model, not a curated record
GCCACCGGACACCAUGCCUCCCAAGAAAGACGUUCCUGUGAAGAAACCCGCAGGGCCCUCCAUCGCCAAGCCUGCUCCCAAGCCAGCUGCAGGGACUCCUCCAGCCAAGACCAAGGCUGAGCCAGCUGUCCCUCAGGCCACUGUGAAAACUCAGGAGCCCCCUGUCGAUCUCUCCAAAGUGGUGAUCGAGUUUAACAAGGACCAGCUGGAGGAGUUCAAGGAGGCCUUUGAGCUGUUUGACCGAGUAGGUGAUGGCAAGAUCCUGUACAGCCAGUGUGGGGACGUGAUGAGGGCCUUGGGCCAGAACCCCACCAAUGCUGAGGUGCUCAAGGUCCUGGGGAACCCUAAGAGUGACGAGUUGAAGUCUCGACGUGUGGACUUUGAGACCUUCCUGCCCAUGCUCCAGGCAGUGGCCAAGAACCGGGAUCAAGGCACAUACGAGGACUACUUGGAGGGGCUUCGGGUGUUUGACAAAGAGGGAAAUGGCAAAGUCAUGGGUGCAGAGCUCAGACAUGUUCUUACCACCCUCGGAGAAAAGAUGACUGAGGACGAAGUGGAGACUGUUUUGGCAGGACACGAGGAUAGCAACGGCUGCAUCAACUAUGAGGCUUUCCUGAAGCACAUCUUAAGUGUCUGAGCUCCACACAUGGGCCCGCCAGACCCCACCUCGUCCUGAGAGGUCUUGUGGGGCAGUCUCUCGCUCCCCUCCCCCGCAGGCAGAAGCACUUUCCUGCCACUAGAAGGCCACAUACUGCUUCAAAAUAAAGACAUGGUUUCUUCCUUGGUUUCUAGACUGUUGUUUACUUCAUAAAGGGAAGGAGGAAAGGGAGGGACUUAAGAGGGAACAUCUUAAGUUCAUAACCGCUGAUUUCUGGGCGGUCAAAGGAACCCUUCGCGGCGCCCCACCCUACGCAGGUUUGCGGUUUCCACGCCCAGGUGCGGCCGCCCAGGAGAAAGGACCACAGUGGGCCCCGCCCACCUCAUUACUAGUGUAGCAAUUCAACUGCAGGAGCUCUGCUCGGGUGCUCAUUGGCUGGGUCCGCGGAGGGUGACGUCAUCGGGACGUACUAAGACUAGGGCUGGGCUAGGAGUCGGAGCCAUUACUGCAGGUCCCGCAGAGCUCGGCAGUUAAGAUGGUGGGUUCCGCUCUUGGCAGAUAAGGGGUUUAGGGGCGAGGAGGGGAGUCACGGUGUGACUUCACCGAGGACCAGACCGCAGGUGAAAAGAUGACAGAGGAAGAAGUGGAGAUGCUGGUGGCAGGGCAUGAGGACAGCAAUGGUUGUAUCAACUAUGAAGAGCUUGUCCGGAUGGUGCUGAAUGGCUGAGGACAUUCCCAGUAAACCCAGAGCCUGUGCCUUGCCCUCUGUGAGAUUUGUAUGUGGCCCCAGAGGCUUCGUAGGUUCACUUGUCACAGCACCUUUCCUAUCUGGUUUCUUGGAUGAUGUUUGCCAUCAGCAUUCACCAAAUAAACUUGCUGUCUUUGCCCCCA